CCUACGGGCUGCACCAGUGGGGAAUAUUGCACAAUGGGCGCAAGCCUGAUGCAGCCAUGCCGCGUGUGUGGAAAAGGCCUUCGGGUUGUAAAGCACUUUCAGCGGAGAGGAAGGCGAUAAGGUUAAUAACCUUGUCGAUUGACGUUACCCGCAGAAGAAGCACCGGCUAACUCCGUGCCAGCAGCCGCGGUAAUACGGAGGGUGCAAGCGUUAAUCGGAAUUACUGGGCGUAAAGCGCACGCAGGCGGUCUGUCAAGUCGGAUGUGAAAUCCCCGGGCUCAACCUGGGAACUGCAUUCGAAACUGGCAGGCUAGAGUCUUGUAGAGGGGGGUAGAAUUCCAGGUGUAGCGGUGAAAUGCGUAGAGAUCUGGAGGAAUACCGGUGGCGAAGGCGGCCCCCUGGACAAAGACUGACGCACAGGUGCGGAAGCGUGGGGAGCAAACAGGAUUAGAUACCCCAGUAGUC
Molecule: ribosomal RNA, 465 nt
Filed under: uncultured bacterium
Lineage: Bacteria
Description: bacterial SSU rRNA
Rfam family: Bacterial small subunit ribosomal RNA
Source: RNAcentral